RNAcentral lists this ribosomal RNA (420 nucleotides) under uncultured Nitrososphaerota archaeon. RNAcentral's name for it is "bacterial SSU rRNA". It matches the Rfam family "Archaeal small subunit ribosomal RNA", at positions 459 to 879 of the family's 1478-position model. The record is from RNAcentral. Lineage: Archaea; Thermoproteati; Nitrososphaerota.
CAGCCGCCGCGGUAAAACCAGCACCUCAAGUGGUCAGGAUGAUUAUUGGGCCUAAAGCAUCCGUAGCCGGCUCUGUAAGUUUUCGGUUAAAUCUGUACGCUCAACGUACAGGCUGCCGGGAAUACUGCAGAGCUAGGGAGUGGGAGAGGUAGACGGUACUCGGUAGGAAGGGGUAAAAUCCUUUGAUCUAUUGAUAACCACCUGUGGCGAAGGCGGUCUACCAGAACACGUCCGACGGUGAGGGAUGAAAGCUGGGGGAGCAAACCGGAUUAGAUACCCGGGUAGUCCCAGCUGUAAACUAUGCAAACUCAGUGAUGCAUUGGCUUGUGGCCAAUGCAGUGCUGCAGGGAAGCCGUUAAGUUUGCCGCCUGGGAAGUACGUACGCAAGUAUGAAACUUAAAGGAAUUGGCGGGGGAGCAC